This 43-nucleotide ribosomal RNA is filed under the name Verticillium dahliae. RNAcentral describes it as "partial 28S ribosomal RNA". The record is from RNAcentral. Lineage: Eukaryota; Fungi; Ascomycota; Sordariomycetes; Glomerellales; Plectosphaerellaceae.
ACGGUUGACCUCGGAUCAGGUAGGAAUACCCGCUGAACUUAAG